This 700-nucleotide ribosomal RNA is filed under the name uncultured bacterium. RNAcentral describes it as "bacterial SSU rRNA". It matches the Rfam family "Bacterial small subunit ribosomal RNA", at positions 103 to 801 of the family's 1533-position model. The record is from RNAcentral.
CGGGUGCGUAACGCGUAUGCAAUCUACCUUGUACAGGGAGAUAGCCCGGAGAAAUCCGGAUUAAUAUCCCAUAGUAUACUUAAAUGGCAUCAUUUAAAUAUUAAAGAUUUAUCGGUACAAGAUGAGCAUGCGUCCCAUUAGCUAGUUGGUAUGGUAACGGCAUACCAAGGCAAUGAUGGGUAGGGGUCCUGAGAGGGAGAUCCCCCACACUGGUACUGAGACACGGACCAGACUCCUACGGGGGGCAGCAGUGAGGAAUAUUGGUCAAUGGAGGCAACUCUGAACCAGCCAUGCCGCGUGCAGGAUGACGGUCCUAUGGAUUGUAAACUGCUUUUAUACAGGAAGAAACCCUGCCACGUGUGGUAGAUUGACGGUACUGUAAGAAUAAGGAUCGGCUAACUCCGUGCCAGCAGCCGCGGUAAUACGGAGGAUCCAAGCGUUAUCCGGAAUCAUUGGGUUUAAAGGGUCCGUAGGCGGUUAAAUAAGUCAGUGGUGAAAUCCGGCAGCUCAACUGUCGCACUGCCAUUGAUACUGUUUAACUUGAAUUAUUGUGAAGUAACUAGAAUAUGUAGUGUAGCGGUGAAAUGCUUAGAGAUUACAUGGAAUACCAAUUGCGAAGGCAGGUUACUAACAAUCAAUUGACGCUGAUGGACGAAAGCGUGGGGAGCGAACAGGAUUAGAUACCCUGGUAGUCCACGCC